This 241-nucleotide unclassified non-coding RNA is filed under the name fungal sp. RNAcentral's name for it is "partial internal transcribed spacer region". The stretch from base 1 to 46 matches the Rfam family "Eukaryotic small subunit ribosomal RNA", at positions 1786 to 1831 of the family's 1831-position model. Lineage: Eukaryota; Fungi. The record is from RNAcentral.
AAGUCGUAACAAGGUUUCCGUAGGUGAACCUGCGGAAGGAUCAUUAAAGAUUCGACCUUCGGGUCUAUCUUAUCUUCAGCUGUGCGCUUUUGCUGCACGCUGUUGAACUUCACACACCUGUGCACACUUCGGUUGCGGUUAGUUAACUCUAGCUGCUUCCGCUUUUACAUUUAACUACUAAGUCUUGAAUGUCAAAUACAAUAAAAAAUAACAACUUUCAACAACGGAUCUCUUGGCUCUC